Dioscorea cayenensis subsp. rotundata (Guinea yam) is the source of this 107-nucleotide small nucleolar RNA. NCBI's taxonomy places the organism in Eukaryota, Viridiplantae, Streptophyta, Magnoliopsida, Dioscoreales, Dioscoreaceae. The record is from RefSeq and is a predicted model, not a curated record.
AACCCAUGUUGAGGACAUUUCCGUAGGAGCUCCUUGAACCUAUCCUCUAUCUCAAAAAGAGACUCCAAUUUCGUUUGCACAAAGGAGGAAAUUUCAUUUCUGAGCUU